Molecule: transfer RNA, 102 nt
Organism: Coniochaeta ligniaria NRRL 30616
Lineage: Eukaryota; Fungi; Ascomycota; Sordariomycetes; Coniochaetales; Coniochaetaceae
Rfam family: tRNA
About the family: Transfer RNA (tRNA) molecules are approximately 80 nucleotides in length. Their secondary structure includes four short double-helical elements and three loops (D, anti-codon, and T loops). Further hydrogen bonds mediate the characteristic L-shaped molecular structure. tRNAs have two regions of fundamental functional importance: the anti-codon, which is responsible for specific mRNA codon recognition, and the 3' end, to which the tRNAs corresponding amino acid is attached (by aminoacyl-tRNA synthetases). tRNAs cope with the degeneracy of the genetic code in two manners: having more than one tRNA (with a specific anti-codon) for a particular amino acid; and 'wobble' base-pairing, i.e. permitting non-standard base-pairing at the 3rd anti-codon position.
Source: Rfam
GGGAAGAUGGCCGAGCGGUCUAAGGCGCUACGUUCAGGUUCUGAUUUCAGAUCAAGACUCGUAGUCUCGAAAGGGGCGUGGGUUCGAAUCCCACUCUUCUCA